Marmota monax (woodchuck) is the source of this 1025-nucleotide long non-coding RNA. RefSeq lists it as uncharacterized. NCBI's taxonomy places the organism in Eukaryota, Metazoa, Chordata, Mammalia, Rodentia, Sciuridae. The transcript is spliced from 4 exons. The record is from RefSeq and is a predicted model, not a curated record.
UUGUCCCAGUGAGAAUUGUAAGUUAUUUUCAGAGCUCAACUGAAACGAGUUAUACUGCUUGCAUUUGGCAGAGACUCAAAGGCAGGCAGGGGCAUGAGUUUGCCCUAAUCUGAGGUUGUGGAUGUGGGUAAACUGGGAGUGGGCUUACUAGAAGCAGGACAUCCUCUGUGACUGGUCUGGAGAUCAUUUUGACUUUCUCUGGUUGGUCCUGAGUUGGAAGUGGGGGCAGGGACUAGGGAAGCCAUUAGUUAUUGACCAAGUCCUGACCAUUUGGGGCCAGUCAUUGCAGAGGUUAUAGGUCACAGUUCUAUUUUUAUCCAUGGUCUGGCCAUUGUCCAUAGGAAUAUUCAAGCUCGCAGUCUCUCUCCACUUGGUCAUUUUCUUGCUUUCAAGAUGAGAACCAACUCAUGAACACAUGGAAAUCCAAUAUUCACUGCUUGAGGUCAUAUCCACAGCAAACUAUGGCAAGAUCUUGACCUUUAGAGCACAAUCAUCUGAUGAGAGUAGCUGUGCAGAAAAACCAAGAAGAAAUCUAGACCAAGGCCGUGUCCAUCACUACUUGUGUUAAUGACGGCUCCUCACUACUUGUGCUAAUUUCUAUAUAGGGAAGAGAUAGAGAUAGUAUCCUUUUUUUUUUUUUUUGAGAGAGAGAGAGAGAGAAUUUUAAUAUUUAUUUUUUUAAUUUUCAGCAGACACAACAUCUUUGUUUGUAUGUGGUGCUGAGGAUCGAACUCGGGCCGCAUGUGUGCCAGAGACAGGAUCUCACUGAGUUGCUUAGCACCUCACUUUUGCUGUGGCUGACCUUGAACUCUUGAUCCUCCUGCCUCAGCCUCCUGAGCUGCUGGGAUUACAGGGCUGGGGAUGAAACCCAGGGCCUUGUGCACGCUGGGUUCUUCAGUUUGUUAAAGGGUGAUGCCUGCUACUAAGGACUCCAACUGAGGCCUGCCUGGGCAUAAGUGGGGCCACUUGGGCCCACAACAGCAUGCUCUGUCAGGGGCAUUUGGUGACCAGAAAGAGAAGCUGUU